GUGCCAGCCGCCGCGGUAAUACGUAGGUGGCAAGCGUUGUCCGGAAUCACUGGGCGUAAAGCGCGCGCAGGCGGCGAUCUACGUCUGGGGUGAAAGCCCGGAGCUCAACUCCGGGACUGCCUUGGAUACGGGAUCGCUUGAGGAUUGGAGAGGCAAGGGGAAUUCCACGUGUAGCGGUGAAAUGCGUAGAGAUGUGGAGGAACACCUGUGGCGAAGGCGCCUUGCUGGCCAAUUACUGACGCUGAGGCGCGAAAGCGUGGGGAGCAAACAGGAUUAGAAACCCCCGUAGUCC
RNAcentral lists this ribosomal RNA (292 nucleotides) under uncultured bacterium. RNAcentral's name for it is "partial 16S ribosomal RNA". It matches the Rfam family "Bacterial small subunit ribosomal RNA", at positions 505 to 796 of the family's 1533-position model. The record is from RNAcentral.